CAACUCAUAUGCAGCGGGGAGAUACCAUGAUCAUGAAGGUGGUUCACCCAGAGCGACUCAAUAUUGCACUUCGGUUGUGCUGACCGAUGCGAAUUCCCCAAAUGUUGGAAUCUCGACUGCAUAAUUUGUGGUAGUGGGGGACUGCGUCGCGCUCUCCUG
Small nuclear RNA from Hippoglossus stenolepis (Pacific halibut), 159 nucleotides. RefSeq annotates it as U1 spliceosomal RNA. The record is from RefSeq and is a predicted model, not a curated record. The transcript has a single exon. Lineage: Eukaryota; Metazoa; Chordata; Actinopteri; Pleuronectiformes; Pleuronectidae.